Molecule: ribosomal RNA, 468 nt
Filed under: Terrahaemophilus aromaticivorans
Lineage: Bacteria; Pseudomonadati; Pseudomonadota; Gammaproteobacteria; Pasteurellales; Pasteurellaceae
Description: bacterial SSU rRNA
Rfam family: Bacterial small subunit ribosomal RNA
Source: RNAcentral
AUUGAACGCUGGCGGCAGGCUUUACACAUGCAAGUCGAACGGUAACAUAAAGAAGCUUGCUUCUUUGAUGACGAGUGGCGGACGGGUGAGUAAUGCUUGGGAAUCUAGCUUAUGGAGGGGGAUAACUACGGGAAACUGUAGCUAAUACCGCGUAGAAUCGGGAGAUGAAAGUGUGGGACCUUCGGGCCACAUGCCAUAGGAUGAGCCCAAGUGGGAUCAGGUAGUUGGUGAGGUAAAGGCUCACCAAGCCGACGAUCUCUAGCUGGUCUGAGAGGAUGACCAGCCACACUGGGACUGAGACACGGCCCAGACUCCUACGGGAGGCAGCAGUGGGGAAUAUUGCGCAAUGGGGGCAACCCUGACGCAGCCAUGCCGCGUGAAUGAAGAAGGCCUUCGGGUUGUAAAGUUCUUUCGGUAGCGAGGAAGGCAUUAGUUUAAUAGACUAGGUGAUUGACGUUAACUACAGAA